Molecule: ribosomal RNA, 1364 nt
Filed under: uncultured beta proteobacterium
Lineage: Bacteria; Pseudomonadati; Pseudomonadota; Betaproteobacteria
Description: 16S ribosomal RNA
Rfam family: Bacterial small subunit ribosomal RNA
Source: RNAcentral
UGAACGCUGGCGGCAUGCCUUACACAUGCAAGUCGAACGGCAGCACGGGUGCUUGCACCUGGUGGCGAGUGGCGAACGGGUGAGUAAUACAUCGGAACAUGUCCUGUAGUGGGGGAUAGCCCGGCGAAAGCCGGAUUAAUACCGCAUACGAUCUACGGAUGAAAGCGGGGGACCUUCGGGCCUCGCGCUAUAGGGUUGGCCGAUGGCUGAUUAGCUAGUUGGUGGGGUAAAGGCCUACCAAGGCGACGAUCAGUAGCUGGUCUGAGAGGACGACCAGCCACACUGGGACUGAGACACGGCCCAGACUCCUACGGGGGGCAGCAGUGGGGAAUUUUGGACAAUGGGCGAAAGCCUGAUCCAGCAAUGCCGCGUGUGUGAAGAAGGCCUUCGGGUUGUAAAGCACUUUUGUCCGGAAAGAAAUCCUUGGCUCUAAUACAGUCGGGGGAUGACGGUACCGGAAGAAUAAGCACCGGCUAACUACGUGCCAGCAGCCGCGGUAAUACGUAGGGUGCGAGCGUUAAUCGGAAUUACUGGGCGUAAAGCGUGCGCAGGCGGUUUGCUAAGACCGAUGUGAAAUCCCCGGGCUCAACCUGGGAACUGCAUUGGUGACUGGCAGGCUAGAGUAUGGCAGAGGGGGGUAGAAUUCCACGUGUAGCAGUGAAAUGCGUAGAGAUGUGGAGGAAUACCGAUGGCGAAGGCAGCCCCCUGGGCCAAUACUGACGCUCAUGCACGAAAGCGUGGGGAGCAAACAGGAUUAGAUACCCUGAUAGUCCACGCCCUAAACGAUGUCAACUAGUUGUUGGGGAUUCAUUUCCUUAGUAACGUAGCUAACGCGUGAAGUUGACCGCCUGGGGAGUACGGUCGCAAGAUUAAAACUCAAAGGAAUUGACGGGGACCCGCACAAGCGGUGGAUGAUGUGGAUUAAUUCGAUGCAACGCGAAAAACCUUACCUACCCUUGACAUGGUCGGAAUCCCGCUGAGAGGUGGGAGUGCUCGAAAGAGAACCGGCGCACAGGUGCUGCAUGGCUGUCGUCAGCUCGUGUCGUGAGAUGUUGGGUUAAGUCCCGCAACGAGCGCAACCCUUGUCCUUAGUUGCUACGCAAGAGCACUCUAAGGAGACUGCCGGUGACAAACCGGAGGAAGGUGGGGAUGACGUCAAGUCCUCAUGGCCCUUAUGGGUAGGGCUUCACACGUCAUACAAUGGUCGGAACAGAGGGUUGCCAACCCGCGAGGGGGAGCUAAUCCCAGAAAACCGAUCGUAGUCCGGAUUGCACUCUGCAACUCGAGUGCAUGAAGCUGGAAUCGCUAGUAAUCGCGGAUCAGCAUGCCGCGGUGAAUACGUUCCCGGGUCUUGUACACACCGC